GACAGAGGGUGCGAACGUUGUUCGGAAUUACUGGGCGUAAAGCGCAUGUAGGCGGCAGCGCAAGUCGGGCGUGAAAUCCCACGGCUCAACCGUGGAAGUGCACUCGAAACUGCGCAGCUAGAGUCCUGGAGAGGAAGGUGGAAUGCUUGGUGUAGAGGUGAAGUUCGUAGAUAUCAAGCGGAACACCGGUGGCGAAGGCGGCCUUCUGGACAGUGACUGACGCUGAGAUGCGAAAGCGUGGGGAGCAAACAGG
RNAcentral lists this ribosomal RNA (253 nucleotides) under uncultured bacterium. Its description in RNAcentral is "partial 16S ribosomal RNA". It matches the Rfam family "Bacterial small subunit ribosomal RNA", at positions 524 to 776 of the family's 1533-position model. The record is from RNAcentral.